UACUGAACCUCCAGUUGCUGGCAUGCACCCAACUAUCCAUUGACUAACAAAAAUAAACUCUGCGGUUCGGAUGCCAUAAACUCAAAUGAGCUAUACCAAAACGUUUACAGCGAUGCCAGACUACAGGAAGUUUUUCAACAGACUGCUCCCUGCAAGUGCUGCAGAAUUGUCAGGGUUUUCAGUCCUUUCCUCAACCUGCAAAACUGCCAGCCUCACUGGCAGAUACCAGGUCUGGGCAAGCAACGUGGAUGAGGAAAUGAGGAUAAUCCGACAGAUAAUUCAAAGCUACAACUUCAUUGCCAUGGACACAGACUUUUUUGGAGUGGUGGUUCGACCCAUUGGCGAGUUUUGCAGCACGGUAGACUAACAGUACCAGCUCUUGAGGUGCAACGUGGACCUUCUGAAAACCAUCCAACUGGGACUGUCAUUUAUGAACGAGGAUGGAGACACUCCCACUGGAACGACGACAUGGAAGUUCAAUUUCUAAUUUAAUUUAAAGUGGGUGUUAAUCCUUCCCAAUAGGCACAGCUCGGUUGUAAAGAUGUCAUAAUGACGUCUUUUCCCGAUGUCGUAUGGCGGUCAGAUUUUGGUUGAAUUUGAAAGGUUUUUAGACAUCUUUUUUAGACGUCAAUAUGACGUCUUCUAGGAGACGUCUAAAACGUGUUCAUAUACAACCAGAAUCUGACCAGAA
Molecule: long non-coding RNA, 691 nt
Organism: Coregonus clupeaformis (lake whitefish)
Lineage: Eukaryota; Metazoa; Chordata; Actinopteri; Salmoniformes; Salmonidae
Exons: 3
Source: RefSeq, a predicted model, not a curated record